RNAcentral lists this RNase P RNA (392 nucleotides) under Gammaproteobacteria bacterium BRH_c0. Its description in RNAcentral is "bacterial RNase P". It matches the Rfam family "Bacterial RNase P class A". Rfam says of the family: Ribonuclease P (RNase P) is a ubiquitous endoribonuclease, found in archaea, bacteria and eukarya as well as chloroplasts and mitochondria. Its best characterised activity is the generation of mature 5'-ends of tRNAs by cleaving the 5'-leader elements of precursor-tRNAs. Lineage: Bacteria; Pseudomonadati; Pseudomonadota; Gammaproteobacteria. The record is from RNAcentral.
GGAGUCGGCCGGGCAAUCGCCGCCCGUUACUCUGGAUGACUCCGCAGGUGUUGUCUGGAGGCGGGGGGAGGAAAGUCCGGGCUCCACAGGGCAGGGUGCCAGGUAAUGCCUGGGGGGCGCGAGUCUACGGAAAGUGCAGCAGAGAGCAGACCGCCGAUGGCCCCGUUCGUAAGAAUGGGGAUCAGGUAAGGGUGAAAGGGUGCGGUAAGAGCGCACCGCGCGACUGGUAACAGUUCGUGGCACGGUAAACCCCACCCGGAGCAAGACCAAAUAGGAAUCCUACAGGCGUGGCCCGCGCUGGAUUCGGGUAGGUCGCUUGAGCCUGGGAGUGAUCCCCGGCCUAGAGGAAUGAUUGUCCACGACAGAACCCGGCUUACAGGCCGACUCCCUUU